This 252-nucleotide ribosomal RNA is filed under the name uncultured bacterium. RNAcentral's name for it is "partial 16S ribosomal RNA". It matches the Rfam family "Bacterial small subunit ribosomal RNA", at positions 524 to 776 of the family's 1533-position model. The record is from RNAcentral.
CACGGGAAGGGCAAGCGUUAUUCAACAUGACUGGGCGUAAAGAGUCCGUAAAUUGUAAAGUAAGUUAUUAGUUAAAAUUUAAAGCUUAACUUUAAAAAAGCUUUUAAUACUGCUUUACUUGAGUUUUAUACAGAAAAAUAGAAUUUUAUAUGAAAGGGUGAAAUCUGUAAAUAUAUAAAGGAAUACCAACAGCGAAGGCAAUUUUUUGGUAAAAACUGACAUUGAGGGACGAAAGUGUAGGUAGCAAACAGG